CAGAUCUAAAUUUAAGUUUCUAGCGAUUGAUGUUGCUAUGUUGACGGAUCCAUGAUUGGGGGUUUUGAAUAUAUGACCUGGAGGUUCAUGUCCGAAUCGAUUUUGAAUUUUAUGAAAUCAAUUGAAGCUCCAGAUCUCAGAAAUUGAAACCCUAAUAAGUAUUUGUGUACACGCAGAUUGUGAUAGACUUCACAGCAGUGUGGUGCCCACCUUGCCGUUUCAUUGCACCUAUCUUUGUCGAGCUCGCUAAGAAGCACCUUGAUGUUGUCUUCUUCAAGGUCGACGUCGAUGAAUUGGCUGUGAGUUACUUUACUUCUCUCUACAAUAUCCAGAUAAAUUGUGUUGGGCUUAAACAGUUUGGUUCUUUUGUUUUGUUUGCAGACUGUUGCUCAGGAGUUCGAUGUUCAGGCCAUGCCAACCUUUGUCUACAUGAAAGGCGAAGAGAAGCUCGACAAGGUUGUUGGUGCUGCCAAGGAGGAAAUCGAAGCCAAGCUUUUGAAGCACUCUCAAGUUGCUGCCGCUUGAUUAUCCUUCUUCUUCUUCUUCUU
RNAcentral lists this long non-coding RNA (548 nucleotides) under Brassica napus (rape). RNAcentral's name for it is "long non-coding RNA (BNAP_LNC011175)". The record is from RNAcentral. Lineage: Eukaryota; Viridiplantae; Streptophyta; Magnoliopsida; Brassicales; Brassicaceae.